UACGUAGGGUGCGAGCGUUGUCCGGAAUUAUUGGGCGUAAAGAGCUCGUAGGCGGUGUGUCGCGUCGGCCGUGAAAACCUGCAGCUUAACUGUGGGCUUGCGGUCGAUACGGGCAUCACUGGAGUUCGGCAGGGGAGACUGGAAUUCCUGGUGUAGCGGUGAAAUGCGUAGAUAUCAAGAGGAACACCUGAGGCGAAGGCGGGUUGCUGGGCCGACACUGACGCUGAUGCGCGAAAGCCAGGGGAGCGAACGGG
Molecule: ribosomal RNA, 254 nt
Filed under: uncultured bacterium
Lineage: Bacteria
Description: partial 16S ribosomal RNA
Rfam family: Bacterial small subunit ribosomal RNA
Source: RNAcentral